Molecule: long non-coding RNA, 986 nt
Filed under: Olea europaea (common olive)
Lineage: Eukaryota; Viridiplantae; Streptophyta; Magnoliopsida; Lamiales; Oleaceae
Description: long non-coding RNA (OEUR_LNC009560)
Source: RNAcentral
GGCAACGAUGCAUGGGCUUUCAACGACCGCACGUGGGCUACUUUUAGCGAAGUUCGAACUAACAGUUUGCUUCAGAAGGCAUGGAUUUUCAGCUUUGAGCGCUAUGGUGAAAUUUAGACGAUUUAGACCUUGCACAUUCAGAGUUGACUUUUGCUUGAUUGGUUGCUGCAAUUGCUGGAGGUUUUAACGCAAAUAGUUGUGGCAUUAAAGUAAUGAAUUUGUACCUGUCCUUGUUUAUGGCUCCCGUAUAUGGUCAGCCAGGUAUCUUUUUUUUUUUUUUUUUCCUUUUAUUAUUGCAAUUAUUUAUAUCAUAUAGGGUAACAAUUUCCUUUACACAUUAGAAGUCAUUGUGUGGGGUAACAUUAGAAUUGGUGUAGGUAUCAUUACCUGUUGCUAGAUCUCGGAAUUAUUUGUUAACUAUUUCAUUGUGAAUUUCUUAUUAAUUAAUUUUUUUUCAUUAUUAGAAUUGCAUUUGACUAUUCUAUAUGAACUAUGUUAGCACUUUACUUGUGAUCGUGGUUUGUUGUAUUUUGUACAUUUUUUGUGAAAUGACAACAUAUUUUGAGUUGUGUUUUUCUAAUGGAAAAGACGUAAUUUUUCAAUUAGGCAAAAGAAAAAGUUUUUAUAUAAUUAUUGAUGACAAAUGUAGGUCUAAGACAAGUGUGAAAAGUAGAAAUGUUUUUUAACUGCAGUAUUUUGAACAUAUUGAAAGAGAUUGUCCUAGGAAGAAUAUUUGGAGGGAAUAUGAGGAGAGAUGUGAUCCGAAUGUUACCAAUGGGUCCAAUUAUGAUACUGUGAAGUUUAUUGAGAGUAAACACGAUUACUGCAUUUGCGUCUAUGUUUGGUAUUAUUCUUAGUCCACUUUGUCUUGGUCCAUUUAAGGAUAAAUUAGGCCCAUAUAAGUGACCUAAUGUGUUUGCAUGUAUAUCCAACCUUGCUUGUAGCCAUGUGUAGAUAUGUAUUGUACAAGAUAGUGGAUAGAAAAG